RNAcentral lists this ribosomal RNA (231 nucleotides) under uncultured bacterium. RNAcentral describes it as "partial 16S ribosomal RNA". It matches the Rfam family "Bacterial small subunit ribosomal RNA", at positions 524 to 754 of the family's 1533-position model. The record is from RNAcentral.
UACGUAGGGUGCAAGCGUUAAUCGGAAUUACUGGGCGUAAAGCGUGCGCAGGCGGUUUUGUAAGUCUGUCGUGAAAUCCCCGGGCUUAACCUGGGAACUGCAUUUGUGACUGGCGGGCUAGAGUAUGGCAGAGGGGGGUAGAAUUCCACGUGUAGCAGUGAAAUGCGUAGAGAUGUGGAGGAAUACCGAUGGCGAAGGCAGCCCCCUGGGCCAAUACUGACGCUCAUGCAC